GCUCAGGACAAAGACCAUGGAAGGUGGCUGAUGCUAGACUUGUGCUUGAAGAUGGUUCUAUAUGGAGGGCCAAGUCGUUUGGUGCUAUGGGAACCCAAGUCGGCGAAGUGGUGUUCAACACAUCUUUGACAGGGGGAAGCAUAUUCUUUUAGGGUGUGAGGUCGACCUAAUUGCACCAUAUUUAUCCUUCUCUGCAUUGCAGUGGGUUCUUGGAGUUGAAUCUCUGAACUCUGUGGUGGCCUCCUGUUAUUCUAGUUUUCUACCUUGGUACCAGGAAAUUCUAACUGACCCAAGUUAUGCUGGCCAGUUUGUUUUGAUGACGAACCCGCAAAUUGGCAAUACUGGUGUUAAUUUGGAUGAUGAAGAAUCAGGGCAAUGCUUCCUUGGCGGUUUGGUGAUCAGAAGCUUAAGUAUCAGUACCUCAAAUUGGAGAUGCAGACAAACUCUUGGUGAUUAUUUAGAAGAAAGGAACAUCAUGGGUAUAUAUGAUGUGGAUACACGUGCAGUCACACGCAGAUUGAGAGAAUAUGGAAGCCUCGUAGGUGUACUGACAACAGAAGAUUCCAAAACUGAUGAGGAGCUGUUGCAAAUGUCCCAUACAUGGGAUAUUGUUGGUGUUGAUUUGAUUAGUGGUGUCUCCUGCAAUGCUCCGUAUGAAUGGCUCAAGAAAACAGAUCCAGAAUGGGAAUUCAUCACCAAUGGAAGAGCUGGGGAGAAUCUUCAUGUUGUCGCAUAUGAUUUUGGAAUCAAGCAUAAUAUCCUGAGGCGCUUGGCAUCUCAGGGAUGCAAAAUCACAGUUGUCCCUUCAACUUGGCCAGCUUCAGAAACUCUUAAACUGUGUCCAGAUGGAGUCCUCUUUAGCAAUGGACCAGGAGACCCAUCUGCAGUUCCUUAUGCUGUUGAAACGGUGAGGGAAAUUGUGGGAAAGGUUCCUGUAUUUGGAAUUUGCAUGGGUCAUCAGUUACUUGGUUUGGCAUUGGGUGGGAAAACUUUUAAAAUGAAGUUUGGUCACCAUGGAGGAAACCACCCAGUACGCAACCUCCAGAAUGGUUGUGUUGAGAUUAGUGCUCAGAAUCAUAACUACGCAGUUGAUCAUGCAUCUCUUCCUGAGGGUGUGGAAGUGACUCAUGUCAAUCUGAAUGAUGGAAGUUGUGCUGGUCUUGCCUUCCCUGCAUUAAAAGUCAUGACCCUUCAGUACCACCCAGAAGCAUCUCCAGGUCCUCAUGAUUCAGAUCCUGCUUUCUCAGAAUUCAUAGAACUGAUGAGAAAAGAAAAGUAACAUGUCAUGACAUCUGCGCGAGUCUCAUGCACUGCAGGCAAAGGUGCAGCUUGUAUGGGCCUUGCCACGGUUUGACGAAUAAAAGUUUUAUUGUCUUCUUCAAUGGAGCAGCUGUGAGAUUCAUUGUAGGGUGGGAGAUCCUCGGGAUCAGUGAGACUCUGGUCUGCUUUAUUGGUGGGAAGCCGUUAGCUAUUUAUCCUCUAUAUACUCUGUUUUCCCUUCAAGUUGCAGAAGAUUUAAGUUGAGUUAGGCAAAGCCUCAACCUGGAGAUUAUAACCAUAUUUUGAAGGACAAAAGCACAUUGAUUUACUUAGUAUGCAACUAUGCAUGGUUUGAAAUAACCCCAGAAAACAACACUAAUGUGUUCAACUGGACACCAAAUGUUCUUCAAGUUUAGCCUCGACACUUCUUAGCCUAAGGGAAGGCUUUGGUCCACAUAAUAUUCAUGCACAAAUGUAAUGUUACGAUUGAAACUUAUGAAUGGACAUUUAUAAGUAUUAUGCUCCCAUUUCCAAUCA
This is an RNA transcript of Macadamia integrifolia, 1797 nucleotides long. It is a transcript of the gene named carbamoyl-phosphate synthase small chain, chloroplastic-like, with no coding region annotated. NCBI's taxonomy places the organism in Eukaryota, Viridiplantae, Streptophyta, Magnoliopsida, Proteales, Proteaceae. The transcript has 12 exons. The record is from RefSeq and is a predicted model, not a curated record.